GCCCCUGUAGCAUAGUAGCUAUUGCGUUUGCCUCGUAAGCAAAAGGUCGUGGGUGCAACUCCCACUGGGGGCU
Molecule: transfer RNA, 73 nt
Filed under: archaeon
Lineage: Archaea
Description: tRNA-Thr
Rfam family: tRNA
About the family: Transfer RNA (tRNA) molecules are approximately 80 nucleotides in length. Their secondary structure includes four short double-helical elements and three loops (D, anti-codon, and T loops). Further hydrogen bonds mediate the characteristic L-shaped molecular structure. tRNAs have two regions of fundamental functional importance: the anti-codon, which is responsible for specific mRNA codon recognition, and the 3' end, to which the tRNAs corresponding amino acid is attached (by aminoacyl-tRNA synthetases). tRNAs cope with the degeneracy of the genetic code in two manners: having more than one tRNA (with a specific anti-codon) for a particular amino acid; and 'wobble' base-pairing, i.e. permitting non-standard base-pairing at the 3rd anti-codon position.
Source: RNAcentral